Molecule: ribosomal RNA, 604 nt
Filed under: uncultured bacterium
Lineage: Bacteria
Description: bacterial SSU rRNA
Rfam family: Bacterial small subunit ribosomal RNA (bases 1-521)
Source: RNAcentral
CCUACGGGAGGCAGCAGUGGGGAAUUUUCCGCAAUGGGCGAAAGCCUGACGGAGCAACGCCGCGUGAGGGAUGAAGGCCUCUGGGCUGUAAACCUCUUUUAUCAAGGAAGAAGAUCUGACGGUACUUGAUGAAUAAGCCACGGCUAAUUCCGUGCCAGCAGCCGCGGUAAUACGGGAGUGGCAAGCGUUAUCCGGAAUUAUUGGGCGUAAAGCGUCCGCAGGCAGUCUUGUAAGUCUGUCGUUAAAGCGUGGAGCUCAACUCCAUUUCGGCGGUGGAAACUACAAGACUAGAGUGUGGUAGGGGCAGGGGGAAUUCCCGGUGUAGCGGUGAAAUGCGUAGAUAUCGGGAAGAACACCAGUGGCGAAGGCGCUCUGCUGGGCCAUAACUGACGCUCAUGGACGAAAGCUAGGGGAGCGAAAGGGAUUAGAUACCCCUGUAGUCCUAGCCGUAAACGAUGAACACUAGGUGUCGGGGGAAUCGACCCCCUCGGUGUCGUAGCUAACGCGUUAAGUGUUCCGCCUGGGGUAGUACGCNCGCAGUGUGAACUAAAUAGUAAGUUAGUACGGCGUGAGACGUGCCGACGGACGACGACGAGGGAGUAGG